AUCUAACGGUAAAAAAUGACACUAAUAGUAGGAAUUUUAAUAGACCACGCCUUCAACGAAGGAGGAGUCCACUACAUAUUGAACUUAUCGAUCGAUUGUUAGGCCCAUUUCGAUCGGUACUGUACAGUCAAUGGCGGAAUGGCGGCGACGUGGAUUGGAACUUGGAAGUGGAUGCAUGUGCGACUUGAUGUGGCGUUGCAUGUGGGAGGUCCCGUCUGUAAUGUUCGCAGACUGGUCAUUUGAUGAUUCGUGUGCACAGUGGUAGUGAUUGGGUGCCUCAAGAGAGAAUCGCAGAGCAUAGCCACCCAUAGAGCUAAAACUCAUAGAAGAUUUUUAAAAUUUUUAUUUGAUUUUGUGUUGUUUCAGCAGUAGUAUGUCCUUCAACAAUCUGUUAUGUCCAUCCAUGGAAUGAGUGGCAUGCGACUAAGUCAACCAAAUGGGGCAACAACAAUCAGUCAGCAAUGGAAUUAGUCUGUGGAAAACAAAACAUUCAUUCCUGAGGAUGGUUUUGAGUUUAUCUAUGCUUAUUGUAUGUUUAAUUUUUAUUGGGCAAACCCAACAGGGGUUUGCUGUUUUCAAUUCACAAUCGUAAUGGAUUUGAAGAGGAUAUUGGUGGAGUUCUGGUAUAAAAAAGUAAAAGUACAUGUUUGAUGGAUGGGCAACCGAAGAGUUCUGGAUCCUAUUGCUAUUGCACAUGUUAUGCCGUGUAAAACUCAAGGCUAAAAGAAGAAGAAUGAUUCAAAAAUUGUGGGAGAGAAUCAUCAAAGAAUUAUACUCGUUUAGGUAAUCCAAUGAAAUAAGAAAGAGUAAUAACUCGGCACAGUCUUCGAUUCCGUCUGUUUUAAAAGCGGUUUUUUCUGUGCGUGGAACUUUUUUGGUCGAGACGUAAUGGGUGUCUUAAAGGCACUGAAGGUUGAAUUAGAUCCCCAACAAAAAGGCAACGCUGAAAAUCCCAGGGGGCGAUGGUAAUUAGUGACAAUGUUACGGUGUAGAUAACCUCAGAAAGUGUGACGCUAGCUGAUGUAAACCGCACCAGCUGUGCUAUUACCAAGUCUGUCUCACUUUUGCCGCCUAGGAAAAGGUUGUGAGAGUAGCAGGAGAAGAGGAAAUUGCAGUAAACCCGGUUUUGAAAGAAGCCAAACAUUCCGAUGAUAUGGGAGCUCAGCCGGUGGAAACAAAAACCCUAUGUUUCAGAUAGAAAGACAAAAGGAACACAUCGUUCCUAAGCUAGUUCUGAGGACCACUGUCACCGAAUGAAAAUCACCUCGCUUAUAGACUCGGAAGGUGAAAGCGAGACCCAAAAAUUUGCAACAACGAAGCAAGUCCUCCACUGUUACAAACCACAAUAUGUAAAUGCGUCGCAUCCGAGAAAUUAAUACUGCAGUAACCAGAACGAUAAAAAAAUCCAUAUUGUUAACGGUUUCCUGCGUAAAGACGAAUCCGAGCAAGUCGUCACUAGUUUACAGCAAAUCGGGCUCUAUCUUCGGGUAAUUUGAGAUACUUUUCUGGACCGUUCAGAAUCUUAUAAUUGGUCAAAAUUUGAUCGUCCUGUCACAUCUCAAAUUCUAUGUUUUAUAAUUCUUGUUCUAUGACCGAGUUCUUUUCCAGACAGUGGCUUCUCAUUCCUCUUGUCAUACCAGCGAUCAGAUUUGAUGUUUCGAAUUGUUUUGGGUUGUUAAAGCAAGUUUGACUUUCUACGAUGCUUCCACCAACGUGCAUGAUCGCCAAACUUUGUCGUUGUGUCGGACUGUUUAUCCGGAAGAAAAACGUCGAAUUAUUGGCGAUAUGUUUGUCAAAGUGGUAGAUAGAACGGCUAACGAUUUAAAUGUCACUUGGAAUAAUCUACUUCUCGGACAAGUUGCUUUGAUACCGGAUUUAAUUGAAUCCACUUCGCAUAUGGCUUCUUCGCGCGCUGAUGCCAUAAAGACUCAUAACGGUUCCGAAAUGGUUCGUCAGUUGUGCAUUUAUGGCCGUGUAGUAGAACCUCUUAAAGGUCUUAGGUCGCGAGCUGGGUCUGUCCACAGAAUUACUCGAACGUCGCCCGUUUCCUGCUCCCUGGUUUUGUCAAUUCGAAUCAUUUAUGCCGAAGAACUGUUUUUGGAAGCUGAUUUCGUUGAGACGCAAGUCGGAUUCAAAUUGCGACGUCGGAAGAACAGCGUCUUUUAUAAAGAUGGUUCUCUUCCUUGCAGGGAGAUUGCCGGACUUAUAGCUAUUGCGUAGAACUGAGCUCUGAUCAGACACAACCAAACUGGAAUGAUCUAGCCUCCUACGCCCGCUUAAUACAGCGUGUGUGUAAUAUUGUCAAUCGUGUUUGCUACGUAUUCGGAAAGCCUGUGCGUGAAUCGGUGACAGACGUUACACCUACCUACUUAACGAGUAAAAUUUUGGUGAUCUUGAGGGAAGCGGAUUAUUUGGCAAAUAAAAUAUUACGGUAUUCGGGUUGCUCUGAGAAACUAGAACAGAUGCCAAUCGUCUUGAUCCCUUUCACUUUUAUCGCGAUUCGAGUCAACGCAUUCCAUCAUGCCAGUGAUCAGUCAUUUUUCGAUCAUUCUUUUCACAGGAUUUUAUGACUGGGCUUCCUGCAAUUCAUGAUACCCACUUGCCCCAAGAGGUUGUAGACAAGAUGGUUGAAGUCGUCUUAACAGUUCCAGGAAUUUUCAGGGUCUUGUAUGAUCUGACGGCGAAACCAUCCUGGACAACGGAGUGGGAAUGAUAUGAUUUACGAACGUUGGUUAGGCAAAUAAUCUCCGCCACUCUUUACAGGACACGGAUGCGGAAUUGUAUCACUGACCAGAUUGAGAUGGUAUACAUUAUAAUAGUGGAAUGAGUAUAGACUUUAGAAAUUGGAAAAUUUAUCAGCUUUGUCGUCUCGUGAAAAUCCCUUUAACUCGCUUCUUAGGAAAAAUUCAGGUGAUGACUUGUUGAGUUUUCCUUAAUAUACAUGCACACUUGUCGGAAAUAAUGGGUGCAUUUGGUUUUCGUGGAACAAAUUAAACAUUGUUAAUGUGCAGCUAGGUGGGUUGUUGUUGCUCUCCGAAGGCUGUUCGAGGCGUUAUGCAAUUUCCUGAGAUUAAACAUUUAGGAAAUGUGGUAAAUGUUCGGAAAUUGUUAAGAUCUAUUCAUAAUGGUACCAUAAAGUAUGACUGUAGGAAAGGGUACGUCGGCUUCUAAAAGUGAAGAACAGCUCUGACGUCUUUGGUAAGCGGAAAAGGUACUGCUGAUUGAAGCGUCAGAUGACGGUUUUAAGAAUGGACUCUUUACUUUGCCCAAUGAAUCUGUGCUUGGAACUGGCAGGUGGCGUUUAGCAGUGGUACCCAAUCUUUAUUCUUAAAACCCAGAGGUGUUCUUCACUUUUCAGGGGGAUUUAAUGAUGAUACUUGUUGGGUUAUCCAUGAAGAAUACCAAUACAUGGAUAACUGGAGGGUAAUAAAAGUAUAAAACUGUAAUUCCUCAUGGCAUUUUCAUUUACGCAUACGCGGCAGUUCGUGAGCAGACGAACCAUUGAAAGGGCCUUGCGCAGUCUAGCUGCAUCCAGCCAGAUACUAGUAGAACCCAAAACAUUGUUUUGACAAGUACUGUCAUAUUUCGGUUGCAGGUUUUUACUAAAUACCAAGCUGAUCCUACGAGCUACGACAGUUUUACCUACCAAUGUUUAGCGUUUCGUGCUGCAACUAGUAGUUGAUAUUCUAGGAUGUUAUGCCUCAAAUUGGAAUUCAGCUAUCAGAGAUUAGCAAAAUUGAAGCGGAAACUCUAGAUGGCGUUGAUGUACGUCUAUGAUGAAGAUUAUGAGUGACAAGUUAA
This is a long non-coding RNA of Daphnia magna, 3801 nucleotides long. RefSeq lists it as uncharacterized. The record is from RefSeq and is a predicted model, not a curated record. The transcript has 12 exons. Lineage: Eukaryota; Metazoa; Arthropoda; Branchiopoda; Diplostraca; Daphniidae.